This 69-nucleotide transfer RNA is filed under the name Amazonina sp. Z256E. RNAcentral describes it as "tRNA-Gln". Lineage: Eukaryota; Metazoa; Arthropoda; Insecta; Blattodea; Pseudophyllodromiidae. The record is from RNAcentral.
UGCAUUUUAGUGUAUGGUGCACAAAAAUUUUUGAUGUUUUUAGGGAUAGUUUAAUUCUAUUAAAUGUAA